AAGUGCCGAGAAACCUGGAAAAUAUCUCUCGUGUACCCGGAUAAUAGGAUAUCAGAGGAGGAUGUAACAGAAGCUUUGGCAGGUCACAUGAUUGUAGCACUGUGUCCACACACUCCACAUGCAAACAAGGGCCCUGUACCAAGUCACAGCAAGAUUUAUACACUGAAUUAUUACAAUGAAACUAGAAAUAUGGGUCACCAAUGGACUGAUUUCUACAGACUGGCCGCUGCUUCCACUUUAACUGUUCAAGAACCAGCCCCAGUGCACUAGACAGGAGCAUGCAGAAGCAUUUGAAGCAAGAGAGAGGAGAAUCAGGCACCUGGAAGAGGAAUUAAGGCAGCUAGAGAGGAAAUUUGUAAGCUGAAAGCAAGACAUGUCAGCAAUAACUUCAUGGAGCAGGAUAAUUCAUGAAAUUAGAAAAAAUAAAAAAAUUCUAAUUAUGGGUCCCACAGAUUCUGUGUAUGAAGCUAGUUAAGUUCAACUGAACAACAAAUUCAGUAUGCUGACAACAGAUGCACUGGAAACUGAUCAGCAACUGUGAAUUUUGCAACAAGAAUUCGAAAUUCCUCGAGUACAGCAAUUGAUAAUAUUUUUAUAGAUAGGGCAAGGUUAAGCUCUUCUUCUACAUCUUCUACACUCAAUGGCCUCUCAGACCACGAUGCUCAACUCCUCACGAGUGGCUAACCUCACCUCAGCUCUCUUGGAAGAUGCAACGAUCUGCUAAGGGUCUCACUGUAGCCUAGCGUCAGCAACAGGUACAGUGCCUCCAUCUCUGCUCUUGCUCCAGUCCCAGGAGUGUCAUGGCAGCCCAACUGAACUUCAUCAUAAAGCACAAGGAGUUGCUUCAGACAUUCCAGUAAGUGAGUGCGAUUGAUGGUUGGAUCAAACUUUGAUAGGGGCUCUGCACAAAGUCUGAAACACAUUGUGUGACUCCUCAGUCAUUCUGAAACUCCAGACUAUUAAGCAGGGCAGUUCAGUUGUUCUGCAUAUUGGCUGUUAUAAGGGUAGUUCAUCUGCAUGGGGUCAGCCUGAUUUUCCUUUUUGGUCUAGCACAUGGCACUGUCAGUAGGUGGACCAUAUCGCAUUGAAUGGUAGGAUGACAAAUGGACUGGAAAGAAUCUUGAAGGAAAGGGUCAUACCAUUAUCAAGGUAUUAUCCUGGGAUUUACAUGGAGGGGCUAAGGAAAACAAUGAAGUACUGACGCUGAUCAUUCUGAGCCCUUAUUUAUUUGGAUGAUUAUAGAUGACC
Molecule: long non-coding RNA, 1248 nt
Organism: Cryptotermes secundus
Lineage: Eukaryota; Metazoa; Arthropoda; Insecta; Blattodea; Kalotermitidae
Exons: 4
Source: RefSeq, a predicted model, not a curated record